This 279-nucleotide ribosomal RNA is filed under the name uncultured bacterium. RNAcentral's name for it is "partial 16S ribosomal RNA". It matches the Rfam family "Bacterial small subunit ribosomal RNA", at positions 506 to 784 of the family's 1533-position model. The record is from RNAcentral.
UGCCAGCCGCCGCGGUAAUACGGGGGGGGCAAGCGUUGUUCGGAAUUACUGGGCGUAAAGGGCUCGUAGGCGGCCUGCUAAGUCGGAUGUGAAAUCCCUCGGCUCAACCGGGGAACUGCAUCCGAUACUGGCGGGCUUGAAUCCGGGAGAGGGAUGUGGAAUUCCAGGUGUAGCGGUGAAAUGCGUAGAUAUCUGGAGGAACACCGGUGGCGAAGGCGGCAUCCUGGACCGGUAUUGACGCUGAGGCGCGAAAGCUAGGGGAGCAAACGGGAUUAGAUA